AGCGAACGCUGGCGGCAGGCCUAACACAUGCAAGUCGAACGAACCUUUCGGGGUUAGUGGCGGACGGGUGAGUAACACGUGGGAACGUGCCUUUAGGUUCGGAAUAACUCAGGGAAACUUGUGCUAAUACCGAAUGUGCCCUUCGGGGGAAAGAUUUAUCGCCUUUAGAGCGGCCCGCGUCUGAUUAGCUAAUUGGUUGAGGUAAUGGCUCACCAAGGCGACGAUAAGUAGCUGGUCUGAGAGGAUGAUCAGCCACAUUGGGACUGAGACACGGCCCAAACUCCUACGGGAGGCAGCAGUGGGGAAUCUUGCGCAAAGGGCGAAAGCCUGACGCAGCCAUGCCGCGUGAAUGAUGAAGGUCUUAGGAUUGUAAAAUUCUUUCACCGGGGACGAUAAUGACGGUACCCGGAGAAGAAGCCCCGGCUAACUUCAUGCCAGCAGCCGCAGUAA
Molecule: ribosomal RNA, 450 nt
Filed under: uncultured bacterium
Lineage: Bacteria
Description: partial 16S ribosomal RNA
Rfam family: Bacterial small subunit ribosomal RNA
Source: RNAcentral